Molecule: ribosomal RNA, 229 nt
Filed under: uncultured bacterium
Lineage: Bacteria
Description: partial 16S ribosomal RNA
Rfam family: Bacterial small subunit ribosomal RNA
Source: RNAcentral
CGCGUAGGCGGGCCUGUCAGUCAGAGGUGAAAUCCCACAGCUUAACUGUGGAACUGCCUUUGAUACUGCAGGUCUUGAGUGCGGAAGAGAGAGACGGAAUUCCAGGUGUAGUGGUGAAAUACGUAGAUAUCUGGAAGAACACCAGAGGCGAAGGCGGUCUCUUGGUCCGUUACUGACGCUGAGGCGCGAAAGCGUGGGGAGCGAACAGGAUUAGAUACCCUGGUAGUCC